UACGGAGGGUGCAAGCGUUAAUCGGAAUUACUGGGCGUAAAGCGCACGCAGGCGGUUGGAUAAGUUAGAUGUGAAAGCCCCGGGCUCAACCUGGGAAUUGCAUUUAAAACUGUCCAGCUAGAGUCUUGUAGAGGGGGGUAGAAUUCCAGGUGUAGCGGUGAAAUGCGUAGAGAUCUGGAGGAAUACCGGUGGCGAAGGCGGCCCCCUGGACAAAGACUGACGCUCAGGUGCGAAAGCGUGGGGAGCAAACAGGAUUAGAUACCCUAGUAGUCCGGAAUGC
This 280-nucleotide ribosomal RNA is filed under the name uncultured bacterium. RNAcentral describes it as "partial 16S ribosomal RNA". It matches the Rfam family "Bacterial small subunit ribosomal RNA", at positions 524 to 800 of the family's 1533-position model. The record is from RNAcentral.